GGUUAAGCGAAUAAGCGUACACGGUGGAUGCCUAGGCAAUCAGAGGCGAUGAAGGACGUGCUAAUCUGCGAAAAGCGUCGGUAAGGUGAUAUGAACCGUUAUACCCGACGAUAUCCGAAUGGGGAAACCCAGUAUCCAAUGGAUACUAUCAUUAACUGAAUCCAUAGGUUAAUGAGGCGAACCGGGAGAACUGAAACAUCUCAGUACCCCGAGGAAAAGAAAUCAACCGAGAUUCCCCUAGUAGCGGCGAGCGAACGGGGAGCAGCCCAGAGUCUUAAUCAAUAGCAGUGUCAGGAGAACGGUCUGGAAAGUCCGGCAGUAAAGGGUGAUAGCCCCGUAUCUGAAGAUGCUGUUAUUGUGAACUCGACGAGUAGGGCGGGACACGUGUUAUCCUGUCUGAAUAUGGGGGGACCAUCCUCCAAGGCUAAAUACUCCUGAUUGACCGAUAGUGAACCAGUACCGUGAGGGAAAGGCGAAAAGAACCCCGGCGAGGGGAGUGAAAAAGAACCUGAAACCGUGUACGUACAAGCAGUAGGAGCCUCUUUAUGGGGUGACUGCGUACCUUUUGUAUAAUGGGUCAGCGACUUAUAUUCUGUAGCAAGGUUAACCGUAUAGGGGAGCCGUAGGGAAACCGAGUCUUAACUGGGCGAAUGAGUUGCAGGGUAUAGACCCGAAACCCGGUGAUCUAUCCAUGGGCAGGUUGAAGGUUGGGUAACACUAACUGGAGGACCGAACCGACUAAUGUUGAAAAAUUAGCGGAUGACUUGUGGAUGGGGGUGAAAGGCCAAUCAAACCGGGAGAUAGCUGGUUCUCCCCGAAAGCUAUUUAGGUAGCGCCUCGUGAACUCAUCUUCGGGGGUAGAGCACUGUUUCGACUAGGGGGUCAUCCCGACUUACCAACUCGAUGCAAACUGCGAAUACCGAAGAAUGUUAUCACGGGAGACACACGGCGGGUGCUAACGUCCGUCGUGAAGAGGGAAACAACCCAGACCGCCAGCUAAGGUCCCAAAGUCAUGGUUAAGUGGGAAACGAAGUGGGAAGGCUCAGACAGCCAGGAUGUUGGCUUAGAAGCAGCCAUCAUUUAAAGAAAGCGUAAUAGCUCACUGGUCGAGUCGGCCCGCGCGGAAGAUGUAACGGGGCUAAACCAUGCACCGAAGCUGCGGCAGCGACACAAAGUGUUGUUGGGUAGGGGAGCGUUCUGUAAGCCUGCGAAGGUGUACUGUGAGGUAUGCUGGAGGUAUCAGAAGUGCGAAUGCUGACAUAAGUAACGAUAAUGCGGGUGAAAAACCCGCACGCCGGAAGACCAAGGGUUCCUGUCCAACGUUAAUCGGGGCAGGGUGAGUCGACCCCUAAGGCGAGGCUGAAAAGCGUAGUCGAUGGGAAACGGGUUAAUAUUCCCGUACUGGUGGUAACUGCGAUGGGGGAACGGAGAAGGCUAGGUUGUCCGGGCGACGGUCGUCCCGGUUCAAGCAGGUAGGCAGAGUGAUUAGGCAAAUCCGGUCACUUAAUGCUGAGAUGUGAUGACGAACCACUAAGGUGGUGAAGCAAUUGAUGCCCCGCUUCCAGGAAAAGCCUCUAAGCUUCAGGUUACCAACAAUCGUACCCCAAACCGACACAGGUGGUCAGGUAGAGAAUACUCAGGCGCUUGAGAGAACUCGGGUGAAGGAACUAGGCAAAAUGGUGCCGUAACUUCGGGAGAAGGCACGCUGGCGGUAGGUAAAGUCCCUUGCGGACGGCGCUGAAGCCAGUCGAAGAUACCAGCUGGCUGCAACUGUUUAUUAAAAACACAGCACUGUGCAAACACGAAAGUGGACGUAUACGGUGUGACGCCUGCCCGGUGCUGGAAGGUUAAUUGAUGGGGUUAGCGCAAGCGAAGCUCCUGAUCGAAGCCCCAGUAAACGGCGGCCGUAACUAUAACGGUCCUAAGGUAGCGAAAUUCCUUGUCGGGUAAGUUCCGACCUGCACGAAUGGCGUAAUGAUGGCCAGGCUGUCUCCACCCGAGACUCAGUGAAAUUGAACUCGCUGUGAAGAUGCAGUGUACCCGCGGCAAGACGGAAAGACCCCGUGAACCUUUACUAUAGCUUGACACUGAACAUUGAGCCUUGAUGUGUAGGAUAGGUGGGAGGCUUUGAAGUGUGGACGCCAGUCUGCAUGGAGCCAACCUUGAAAUACCACCCUUUAACGUUUGAUGUUCUAACCUAGGCCCAUAAACUGGGUCGGGGACCGUGUCUGGUGGGUAGUUUGACUGGGGCGGUCUCCUCCUAAAGAGUAACGGAGGAGCACGAAGGUUGGCUAAGCAUGGUCGGACAUCAUGCGGUUAGUGCAAAGGCAUAAGCCAGCUUGACUGCGAGAGUGACGGCUCGAGCAGGUACGAAAGUAGGUCUUAGUGAUCCGGUGGUUCUGAAUGGAAGGGCCAUCGCUCAACGGAUAAAAGGUACUCCGGGGAUAACAGGCUGAUACCGCCCAAGAGUUCAUAUCGACGGCGGUGUUUGGCACCUCGAUGUCGGCUCAUCACAUCCUGGGGCUGAAGUAGGUCCCAAGGGUAUGGCUGUUCGCCAUUUAAAGUGGUACGCGAGCUGGGUUUAGAACGUCGUGAGACAGUUCGGUCCCUAUCUGCCGUGGGCGUUGGAAGAUUGAGAGGGGUUGCUCCUAGUACGAGAGGACCGGAGUGAACGCACCACUGGUGUUCGGGUUGUCAUGCCAAUGGCAUUGCCCGGUAGCUAAGUGCGGAAGAGAUAACCGCUGAAAGCAUCUAAGCGGGAAACUUGCCUCGAGAUGAGUCUUCCCUGUCGCUUUAAGCGACCUAAAGGAACGUUUAAGACUAAGACGUUGAUAGGCUGGGUGUGUAAGCGUAGCGAUACGUUGAGCUAACCAGUACUAAUGAACCGUGAGGCUUAACCUG
Molecule: ribosomal RNA, 2901 nt
Filed under: Proteus mirabilis
Lineage: Bacteria; Pseudomonadati; Pseudomonadota; Gammaproteobacteria; Enterobacterales; Morganellaceae
Description: 23S ribosomal RNA
Rfam family: Bacterial large subunit ribosomal RNA
Source: RNAcentral